RNAcentral lists this ribosomal RNA (513 nucleotides) under bacterium enrichment culture clone ALO1_GLFRUDD03GWCHH. RNAcentral describes it as "bacterial SSU rRNA". It matches the Rfam family "Bacterial small subunit ribosomal RNA", at positions 9 to 517 of the family's 1533-position model. The record is from RNAcentral.
AAGUUUGAUCGUGGCUCAGAUUGAACGCUGGCGGCAGGCCUAACACAUGCAAGUCGAGCGGAUGACGGGAGCUUGCUCCUUGAUUCAGCGGCGGACGGGUGAGUAAUGCCUAGGAAUCUGCCUGGUAGUGGGGGACAACGUUUCGAAAGGAACGCUAAUACCGCAUACGUCCUACGGGAGAAAGCAGGGGACCUUCGGGCUUUGCGCUAUCAGAUGAGCCUAGGUCGGAUUAGCUAGUUGGUGGGGUAAUGGCUCACCAAGGCGACGAUCCGUAACUGGUCUGAGAGGAUGAUCAGUCACACUGGAACUGAGACACGGUCCAGACUCCUACGGGAGGCAGCAGUGGGGAAUAUUGGACAAUGGGCGAAAGCCUGAUCCAGCCAUGCCGCGUGUGUGAAGAAGGUCUUCGGAUUGUAAAGCACUUUAAGUUGGGAGGAAGGGCAGUAAGUUAAUACCUUGCUGUUUUGACGUUACCGACAGAAUAAGCACCGGCUAACUCUGUGCCAGCCGCCG